RNAcentral lists this ribosomal RNA (461 nucleotides) under uncultured bacterium. RNAcentral's name for it is "bacterial SSU rRNA". It matches the Rfam family "Bacterial small subunit ribosomal RNA", at positions 28 to 507 of the family's 1533-position model. The record is from RNAcentral.
GAUGAACGCUGGCGGUAUGCCUAACACAUGCAAGUCGUACGAGAGUUUUUUAACUCUAGUGGCGGACGGUGAGUAACACGUGAGAAUUUGCCUUUAGGAGGGGGAUAACAAUUGGAAACGAAUGCUAAUACCCCAUAUGCUUUUGAGUGAAAUGGAUUUUAUCCGCCUAAAGAGAAGCUCGCGGCUGAUUAGCUUGUUGGUGGGGUAAAAGCCCACCAAGGCGACGAUCAGUAGCUGGUCUGAGAGGACGAUCAGCCACACUGGGACUGAGACACGGCCCAGACUCCUACGGGAGGCAGCAGUGGGGAAUUUUGGACAAUGGGGGCAACCCUGAUCCAGCAAUGCCGCGUGAGUGAAGAAGGCCUUCGGGUUGUAAAGCUCUUUUGUCAGGGAAGAAACACCGGCUCUAACACAGUCCGGGAAUGACGGUACCUGAAGAAUAAGCACCGGCUAACUACGUG